This 1451-nucleotide long non-coding RNA is filed under the name Manacus vitellinus (golden-collared manakin). RNAcentral's name for it is "lncRNA (ENSMVIG00005002381.1)". The record is from RNAcentral. Lineage: Eukaryota; Metazoa; Chordata; Aves; Passeriformes; Pipridae.
AUAAAAAGGAAAGGAUCCAAUAAAGAUUAAUUAUCUAAUUAAGAGGGACAUAAAAUGGGGGAUAAAUCAGCCUCUGGGUCACAGCUGGGGAGGGGUCGGGGCUGGGAUGGGGGGAGGGUCCUGGGAAGGGUGGGAAUUGUGGCUCCAUCCCACAUCCCAAUCCCCACAUCCCAUUCCAGCACAUCCCAAUCCGGCAGGGCCUGUUCCAGCACAUCCCAGUCCUGAAUAUCCCAGUCCCAAAUAUCCCAGUCCCGAAUAUCCCCGUCCCAAAUACCCCCUUCCAGCACAUCCCAAUCCGGCAGGGCCUGUUCCAGCACAUCCCAGUCCCAAAUAUCCCAAUCCUUCAUGUCCCAAUCCCCACAUUCCAUUUCAGUACAUCCCAGUCCCCACGUCCCAGUCCCAAAUGCCCCCUUCCAGCACAUCCCAGUCCUGAAUAUCCCAGUCCCAAAUACCCCCUUCCAGCACAUCCCAGCCCUCACAUCCCCGUCCCCACAUCCCAUUCCUGAAAAUCCAAUUCCAGCACAUUCCAGUCCCUCACACCCCAUUCCAGCACAUCCCAGUCCUUCCCAUCCCAAUCCCCGCAUUCCAUUUCGGUACAUCCCAGUCCCCACAUCCCAGUCCCGAACCCCCCAGUCCUUCCCAUCCCAAUCCUCAAUCCCAUUCCAGCACAUCCCAAUCCCGAAAAUCCCAGCCCGGCCCAUCCCGCUCCCGCAGCGCAGCCCCGGCUCUGGGGACGCUCCCGGGCAGUGCCGGGGCCGUGUCUGUCUGUCCCUCUCUCCGUCUGUCUGUCCCUCUGUCCGUCCCUGUGCCCCCGUGUCCGUCUGUCUCUCUCUGUCCUUGUGUCCCCGUGUCCGUCUGUCAGUCUCGAGCCCGUCCCGCAGAUCUGCCCAUCCCUGUGUCCGUCUGUUUCUGUCCCUGUGUCCGUCUGUCUGUCUCUGUCCCUGUGUCCCCGUGUCCAUCUGUCUGCCUCUGUCCCCGUGUCCGUCUGUCUGUCUCUGUCCCCGUGUCCGUCUGUCUGUCCCGGCCCGUCCCGCAGCUCUCUGUCUCUCUCUAGCGGCUCCUCCCCGCAGAGCCGCGCCCGCCGCUCCCAGUACGGCCCAGGGACUCCCAGUUCAUUCCAGUGACUCCCAGUACGGCCCAGGGACUCCCAGUGACUCCCAGUACAGCCCAGUGAGUCCUAGUGAAUCCCAGUACAGCCCAGCAACACCCAGUUCACCCCAGUGACUCCCAGGGGCUCCCAGUACAGCCCAGUGACUCCCAGCACAGCCCAGUGACUCCCAGUUCAUCCCAGUGACUCCCAGAGACCCGCCCCCUCAAUUCCUCCUCUGCCUCCUAAAGGAGCCCCAAACCCCCUCCCGAGGGGGGAAACUGGGGCAGGGACCCCUCAAGCCCCUUCCCCCCAGUUCCCAACUGGGCAAGCUGGGCCACGGAUCCCUCCUGUGCCUUGUAGU